This 621-nucleotide ribosomal RNA is filed under the name uncultured bacterium. Its description in RNAcentral is "bacterial SSU rRNA". It matches the Rfam family "Bacterial small subunit ribosomal RNA", at positions 20 to 641 of the family's 1533-position model. The record is from RNAcentral.
UGGCUCAGGAUGAACGCUGGCGGCGUGCUUAACACAUGCAAGUCGAACGAAGCACCUGAGAAUGAUUCUUCGGAUGAAGUCUCUUGUGACUGAGUGGCGGACGGGUGAGUAACGCGUGGGUAACCUGCCUCACACAGGGGGAUAACAGUUGGAAACGACCGCUAAUACCGCAUAACCCGCUGGUGCCGCAUGGCACUGACGGAAAAGAUUUAUCGGUGUGAGAUGGACCCGCGUCUGAUUAGCCAGUUGGCAGGGUAACGGCCUACCAAAGCGACGAUCAGUAGCCGGCCUGAGAGGGUGAACGGCCACAUUGGGACUGAGACACGGCCCAGACUCCUGCGGGAGGCAGCAGUGGGGAAUAUUGCACAAUGGGGGAAACCCUGAUGCAGCGACGCCGCGUGAGUGAAGAAGUAUUUCGGUAUGUAAAGCUCUAUCAGCAGGGAAGAAAAUGACGGUACCUGAUUAAGAAGCCCCGGCUAACUACGUGCCAGCAGCCGCGGUAAUACGUAGGGGGCAAGCGUUAUCCGGAUUUACUGGGUGUAAAGGGAGCGUAGACGGUGAUGCAAGUCAGAAGUGAAAGCCCGGGGCUCAACUCCGGGACUGCUUUUGAAACUGUGUGAC